RNAcentral lists this long non-coding RNA (151 nucleotides) under Papio anubis (olive baboon). RNAcentral describes it as "lncRNA (ENSPANG00000044098.1)". The record is from RNAcentral. Lineage: Eukaryota; Metazoa; Chordata; Mammalia; Primates; Cercopithecidae.
GUUAUUCUUUCCAGUGGCUUCUUGGUCUCGCUGACUUCAAGAAUGAAGCUGUGGACCCUCAUGGUUUACAGAAGCAGAUCCAGGGAUAAGGCAUUGGUGUGCUAGUGAUUUAUCAAGAAGGUACUCAGAGGACAAACUGAUAAGAAAUUGC